UGCCAGCCGCCGCGGUAAUACGGGGGGUGCAAGCGUUGUCCGGAAUUACUGGGCGUAAAGGGCGUGUAGGCGGCGAGAUAAGUCAGAUGUGAAAGGCUGCGGCUUAACCGUGGAAAUGCAUUUGAUACUGUUUUGCUUGAGUUCGAGAGAGGGUAGUGGAAUUCCCAGUGUAGCGGUGAAAUGCGUAGAUAUUGGGAAGAACACCAGUAGCGAAGGCGGCUACCUGGCUCGCAACUGACGCUAAGGCGCGAAAGCGUGGGGAUCAAACAGGAUUAGAUACCCUGGUAGUCCACGCUGUAAACGAUGGGCACUAGGUGUUGGUCUCGUCUAUGGGAUCAGUGCCGCAGCAAACGCAUUAAGUGCCCCGCCUGGGGAGUACGAUCGCAAGGUUGAAACUCAAAGGAAUUGACGG
RNAcentral lists this ribosomal RNA (412 nucleotides) under uncultured Caldithrix sp. RNAcentral describes it as "bacterial SSU rRNA". It matches the Rfam family "Bacterial small subunit ribosomal RNA", at positions 506 to 916 of the family's 1533-position model. The record is from RNAcentral. Lineage: Bacteria; Pseudomonadati; Calditrichota; Calditrichia; Calditrichales; Calditrichaceae.